Molecule: ribosomal RNA, 253 nt
Filed under: uncultured bacterium
Lineage: Bacteria
Description: partial 16S ribosomal RNA
Rfam family: Bacterial small subunit ribosomal RNA
Source: RNAcentral
UACGUAGGGUGCAAGCGUUAAUCGGAAUUAUUGGGCGUAAAGAGCUCGUAGGCGGUUUGUCGCGUCGAAUGUGAAAACCCGGGGCUCAACCCCGGGCCUGCAUUCGAUACGGGCAGACUAGAGUUCGGUAGGGGAGUCUGGAAUUCCUGGUGUAGCGGUGAAAUGCGCAGAUAUCAGGAGGAACACCGGUGGCGAAGGCGGGACUCUGGGCCGAUACUGACGCUGAGGAGCGAAAGCGUGGGGAGCAAACAGG